UACAGAGGGUGCAAGCGUUGUUCGGAAUCACUGGGCGUAAAGCGCGUGUAGGCGGUGGAGUGUGUCCUGUGUGAAAUCCCUCGGCUUAACUGAGGAAGGGCAUGGGAAACUACUUCACUGGAGUGCGAAAGAGGGGGGCGGAAUUCCUAGUGUAGAAGUGAAAUUCGUAGAUACUAGGAGGAACACCGGAGGCGAAGGCGGCCACCUGGGUCGUAACUGACGCUGAUACGCGAAAGCGUGGGGAGCAAACAGG
RNAcentral lists this ribosomal RNA (253 nucleotides) under uncultured prokaryote. RNAcentral's name for it is "partial 16S ribosomal RNA". It matches the Rfam family "Bacterial small subunit ribosomal RNA", at positions 524 to 776 of the family's 1533-position model. The record is from RNAcentral.